Molecule: long non-coding RNA, 780 nt
Filed under: Ursus maritimus (polar bear)
Lineage: Eukaryota; Metazoa; Chordata; Mammalia; Carnivora; Ursidae
Description: lncRNA (ENSUMAG00000023548.1)
Source: RNAcentral
UUUAUAUAAGGUAUAUUGGUGGUGCUUAAUUUUAUAAUUUGGUUCAUUAGAUUAUCAAGAUGGGAUUGUGGCUGAGGUGGAAGAGAAAAGAACAUCACCAAUAGAUGAAUACUGAGAGUGAUGGGGCUUUAGGUGUAAGCCCUUUUUUUGGAUAGAGAGAACAUUUCAAAUCCAAGGGCCCUAUGAACCUGGUGGUUCUGCCCUGAUCUGUCCUGCUUCCUUUUUUCCACUCAAAGCACUACCAACAUGCAGUUCUUGGCCUAGAUCCUCACUUUCAUGUGGAGGUCACUAAGUCCAGAGAAAUCCAAUUAGAGUGCAAGUCAGAAGUCUCGUUCCUUCAGCCAAAGGUCCUGUGGAUAGACUUGCAGGGAGGGAAAAUUCCAGCUGUGUCCAAGUCUCAUCCAGAACAAAAGUGCUUUGUUCCACGUAACAAUAUCACUGCUUCUUCAGGGAACCUUCUCAGAAGAAUCUAAUACUUUCUAUCUGGAACCCAGUACUGAAAACAAUUGUCCAUAACAGGUCAGUUUUCUCUUUCCCCUCACUGUGCCCUCCAAAAUGGGCUUUUAUGGUCAUACUCCUUGGCAGUGGCACCUCUAACCUGGGUUUGACUGAUAUUUUCUCAUGUUAGAUUUAGAUUAUGUAUUUUAAGCAGGAGUGUCUCAGAAAUAAUUCUGUAUUCUUGAUGUAUUCUAUCUCAGUGGAGUGUGAUUUCCAUUUGUACCAUUACUGAUAAUGUUUAUUUUGAUAAUUUGGCUAAUAUGGUAACUUCCAGGUUUUUUU